Molecule: non-coding RNA, 125 nt
Filed under: uncultured Nitzschia
Lineage: Eukaryota; Bacillariophyta; Bacillariophyceae; Bacillariales; Bacillariaceae
Source: RNAcentral
AACGUCGAUCUAUGGCAUGGUCCUGACAACACACCGUUCAAACUUUCGAUUUAUGUUGAGGAUGGGAACGAACGUCCAUUCUCUGCAAUCCUCGCGACGCCACAUUCGUCGUUGGGUAAUACAGU